RNAcentral lists this long non-coding RNA (745 nucleotides) under Cricetulus griseus (Chinese hamster). Its description in RNAcentral is "lncRNA (ENSCGRG00015038101.1)". Lineage: Eukaryota; Metazoa; Chordata; Mammalia; Rodentia; Cricetidae. The record is from RNAcentral.
GGGAAAGCUGAAGCUGAGGGAUUUCCUGGCCAUUUGGGGAGAAUUCUGUUUCACUUUCCGUGGCUCUCUCACCCUGGCUCUGGUUCUCCUGGGAAAGUUAGUAAAUUUCUGAUAAGCAACUUAGUUUGUCUUGGUGCCUGGAGCCUAAGCCUGAGUACAAGCAACUCCAUUUCGGUUUGACUUGUUGGGCCUUGUGUGGAAGCUCGGUCCAAGUCAUGACUCUUACUUUGAUAGUUCGAAAGUUUUCAACAGAGCAAUUCUGCUGAAGUUUCUAAAUGUGUAAGUUCAUCAUCGCCGUACCUCUCCACUUCAUCCCUGAGCACUGAGUCAGGAACAACCAAGGUGACUGCCUUUGUGUUUCCACCACGAAACACGCAGUGUAGGUGAAAUAUACUCGAUGAACACUUUGUGGCAAGAAACAAAGAACUAUCUAACCUCUCAAAAAGAAUGGCUCCCAGAUGAAAAUAUCUCCAUUUCUUAGUAAGUGGCUACUAAGGAAGCGAAGACAGGAGGAUCCUUUGAACCCCAGAGUUCAAGAUUGGCACGAGGAAUGUAGGGAGACCGGGUCUUAAAAAGAAGAGGAAGAAGGAGGAGGAGAGCAAGGAAAAGAAGAAACAGUGGCUAAGUCUUUCGAAGUGAAGUUGGAAAGUUGGAAGAUGACACUCAUACCUGCUAAUGGUUAAACUGAAGAAUGUGCCAGUACACUUCACAAACAAUAAAAGCCAGUGAGUGCCCUCUGGUUUCA